GGGAUUACAGGCGCCGCCAUCACGCCCGGCUCAUUUUUUUGUUUUAGUAGAGAGGAGGUUUCACCGUGUUAGCCAGGAUGGUCUCAAUCUCCUGACCUCGUGAUCCGCCCGCCUCGGCCUCUCAAAGUGCUGGGAUUACACGCGUGAGCCCCCGCGCCUGGCCUGAAGAAAGAAGUCAUUAAAGAAGCAACCCAUGGCAAAACUAGUUAUUUUCUUAAAACAGUAGGAAGAAGAAAAGCUUUUUG
RNAcentral lists this long non-coding RNA (245 nucleotides) under Pan troglodytes (chimpanzee). RNAcentral's name for it is "lincRNA". Lineage: Eukaryota; Metazoa; Chordata; Mammalia; Primates; Hominidae. The record is from RNAcentral.